GGUUGUGCCCUUGAGGUGUGGCUUCCGGAGCUAACGCGUUAAGUAGACCGCCUGGGGAGUACGGCCGCAAGGUUAAAACUCAAAUGAAUUGACGGGGGCCCGCACAAGCGGUGGAGCAUGUGGUUUAAUUCGAUGCAACGCGAAGAACCUUACCUGGUCUUGACAUCCACAGAACUUUCCAGAGAUGGAUUGGUGCCUUCGGGAACUGUGAGACAGGUGCUGCAUGGCUGUCGUCAGCUCGUGUUGUGAAAUGUUGGGUUAAGUCCCGCAACGAGCGCAACCCUUAUCCUUUGUUGCCAGCGGUCCGGCCGGGAACUCAAAGGAGACUGCCAGUGAUAAACUGGAGGAAGGUGGGGAUGACGUCAAGUCAUCAUGGCCCUUACGACCAGGGCUACACACGUGCUACAAUGGCGCAUACAAAGAGAAGCGACCUCGCGAGAGCAAGCGGACCUCAUAAAGUGCGUCGUAGUCCGGAUUGGAGUCUGCAACUCGACUCCAUGAAGUCGGAAUCGCUAGUAAUCGUGGAUCAGAAUGCCACGGUGAAUACGUUCCCGGGCCUUGUACACACCGCCCGUCACACCAUGGGAGUGGGUUGCAAAAGAAGUAGGUAGCUUAACCUUCGGGAGGGCGCUUACCACUUUGUGAUUCAUGACUGGGGUGAAGUCGUAACAAGGUAACCGUAGGGGAACCUGC
Molecule: ribosomal RNA, 693 nt
Filed under: Salmonella enterica subsp. enterica serovar Mbandaka
Lineage: Bacteria; Pseudomonadati; Pseudomonadota; Gammaproteobacteria; Enterobacterales; Enterobacteriaceae
Description: bacterial SSU rRNA
Rfam family: Bacterial small subunit ribosomal RNA
Source: RNAcentral